AGAUGACCGAUGACCGGGAAGAGUACCCAGUAAGGCACCGGUUUCAGCGAACCUGGGAUGGUGAGAGCCGGGUACCGGAUUCUGGCGGAAAAUCACCCGUGAGGCGCAGGACUGAACGCGAAAGCGGAUCUUGAAAAAGGACCGUUUUCAGUAAGUUCUGCCGGUUGGCCGCCGAUAACGGCAAACGUGAGGCCGCCCGGUCCGGGGGAUCGGCCGGCGCAUUAGGGUGGUACCGCGGGAAGACCUCUCGCCCCUUAG
Molecule: non-coding RNA, 258 nt
Filed under: Desulforudis
Lineage: Bacteria; Bacillati; Bacillota; Clostridia; Thermoanaerobacterales; Desulforudaceae
Description: Candidatus Desulforudis T-box sequence
Rfam family: T-box leader
About the family: Uncharged tRNA acts as the effector for transcription antitermination of genes in the T-box leader family. T-boxes are found upstream of many aminoacyl-tRNA synthetase genes and some amino acid biosynthetic genes usually in Gram-positive bacteria.
Source: RNAcentral